GGCCGACUAGCUCAGUUGGUUAGAGCGUGGUGCUAAUACUCUGAGGGUUACGCUCAAAGGGUACGCCAAGGUCGUCGGUUCGACCCCGGCGUUGGCCA
Earliella scabrosa is the source of this 98-nucleotide non-coding RNA. The record is from the annotation of a GenBank genome assembly. Lineage: Eukaryota; Fungi; Basidiomycota; Agaricomycetes; Polyporales; Polyporaceae.